GAUGAACGCUGGCGGCGUGCCUAGUACAUGCAAGUCGAGCGAACGGACGAGAAGCUUGCUUCUCUGAUGUUAGCGGCGGACGGGUGAGUAACACGUGGAUAACCUACCUAUAAGACUGGGAUAACUUCGGGAAACCGGAGCUAAUACCGGAUAAUAUUUUGAACCGCAUGGUUCAAAAGUGAAAGACGGUCUUGCUGUCACUUAUAGAUGGAUCCGCGCUGCAUUAGCUAGUUGGUAAGGUAACGGCUUACCAAGGCAACGAUGCAUAGCCGACCUGAGAGGAUGAUCGGCCACACUGGAACUGAGACACGGUCCAGACUCCUACGGGAGGCAGCAGUAGGGAAUCUUCCGCAAUGGGCGAAAGCCUGACGGAGCAACGCCGCGUGAGUGAUGAAGGUCUUCGGAUCGUAAAACUCUGUUAUUAGGGAAGAACAUAUGUGUAAGUAACUGUGCACAUCUUGACGGUACCUAAUCAGAAAGCCACGGCUAACUACGUG
RNAcentral lists this ribosomal RNA (497 nucleotides) under uncultured bacterium. RNAcentral's name for it is "partial 16S ribosomal RNA". It matches the Rfam family "Bacterial small subunit ribosomal RNA", at positions 28 to 507 of the family's 1533-position model. The record is from RNAcentral.